This 1309-nucleotide ribosomal RNA is filed under the name metagenome. RNAcentral's name for it is "SSU rRNA". It matches the Rfam family "Eukaryotic small subunit ribosomal RNA", at positions 3 to 1320 of the family's 1831-position model. The record is from RNAcentral.
CCUGGUUGAUCCUGCCAGUGGUCAUAUGCUUGUCUCAAAGAUUAAGCCAUGCAUGUUUAAGCAGAAGCCGCACAACGGUAAAGCCGCGAAUGGCUCAUUACAACAGCCGUCGUUUCUUGGAUCUCUAAUUUUACUUGGAUAACUGUGGUAAUUCUAGAGCUAAUACACGCACUAAAGCUCUGACCUUACGGAACGAGCGCAUUUAUUAGAACAAAACCAAUCGGGUUUCGGCCCGUUCGUUGGUGACUCUGAAUAACUCUGCCGAUCGCACGGUCUCGCACCGGCGACGUAUCUUUCAAGUGUCUGCCUUAUCAACUUUCGAUGGUAGUUUAUGUGCCUACCAUGGUUGUAACGGGUAACGGAGAAUAAGGGUUCGACUCCGGAGAGGGAGCCUGAGAAACGGCUACCACAUCCAAGGAAGGCAGCAGGCGCGCAAUUACCCACUCUCGGCACGAGGAGGUAGUGACGAAAAAUAACGAGACGGAUCUCUUUGAGGCCCGUUAUCGGAAUGAGAACAAUUCAAAUCCUUUAACGAGGAUCUAGGGAGGGCAAGUCUGGUGCCAGCAGCCGCGGUAAUUCCAGCUCCGCAGGUGUAUAUCUAUGCUGCUGCGGUUAAAAAGCUCGUAGUUGGAUCUGCGUGCUCGGAACUGGUUGGCUCACUGAGUUCAAACUGGUCUCCGGCGCUUUAUUGGCUGGUUUUCCCUUGAUGCUCUUAACCGGGUGUCUUGGGUGGCUAGCACGUUUACUUUGAAAAAAUUAGAGUGCUCAAUACAGGCGUAAAGCCUUGAAUAGUGGUGCAUGGAAUAAUAGAAUAGGACCUCGGCUCUAUUUUGUUGGUUUUCGGAACGCGAGGUAAUGAUUAAGAGGGACAGACGGGGGCAUUCGUAUUGCGACGUUAGAGGUGAAAUUCUUGGAUCGUCGCAAGACGGACGACUGCGAAAGCAUUCGCCAAGAAUGUUUUCAUUAAUCAAGAACGAAAGUUAGAGGUUCGAAGGCGAUCAGAUACCGCCCUAGUUCUAACCGUAAACGAUGCCAACUAGCGAUUCGCAGGCGUUAAACAACGACCUUGCGGGCAGCUUCCCGGAAACGAAAGUGUUCGGGUUCCGGGGGAAGUAUGGUUGCAAAGCUGAAACUUAAAGGAAUUGACGGAAGGGCACCACCAGGAGUGGAGCCUGCGGCUUAAUUUGACCAACACGGGAAAACUCACCCGGCCCGGACACCGUAAGGAUUGACAGAUUGAGAGCUCUUUCUUGAUUCGGUGGGUGGUGGUGCAUGGCCGUUCUUAGUUGGUGGAGCGAUUUGUCUGGUU